CCAAUAGCGUAUAUUAAAGUUGUUGCAGUUAAAAAGCUCGUAGUUGAACUUCAGGCCUGUCCAGAUGGUCCGCCUUAAUUGGUGUGUACUGUCCUUGGGUGGGUCCUACCUUCUGGCGAAGCGGCAUGGCCUUAAUUGGUUGUGUUGGGGAACCAGGACUUUUACUGUGAAAAAAUUAGAGUGUUCAAAGCAGGCAUAUA
RNAcentral lists this ribosomal RNA (200 nucleotides) under uncultured Glomus. RNAcentral describes it as "partial small subunit ribosomal RNA". It matches the Rfam family "Eukaryotic small subunit ribosomal RNA", at positions 591 to 790 of the family's 1831-position model. RNAcentral also lists the same sequence under 1 other name. The record is from RNAcentral. Lineage: Eukaryota; Fungi; Glomeromycota; Glomeromycetes; Glomerales; Glomeraceae.